CAGUUCCUCCUCUCGGCCAGCGGCAGAUCAUGUAACUGGGUCAAACCUGUCAAAGGACCAUCACUUUGGAUAACUUUAGUUUGACUUUUGUUCUGCUGUCAGUCUGAGCAUAAAAUAUUGGACUAACGUCUGGUUCUGCAGUGGGUCAGUAUGUGUGGAAGACGUGCAUUCAGGCUUUCUCUGCUUCUGCUGGUGUGGUGUGUGUGCACAGCCUUAGAAGAGAUUCAAGUGAAACCAUUAGAAACAGGAACAGAUUUGGGCACUCUUUCCUGUCCAAACCAAACCAUUCAUGACAUGAUGUAUGUAAUAUGUAAGAUGAUAAGUGGUGGGAGUGAGUGUCGAGUGUCUCUUCGGUUUGACCAAAAUGGUACAGACAGCACUUGUGACCCCAGAGUCACACUGCAGACAGAGAAUGACAGAGUGUUUCUACACAUCACCAACAUACAACCAUCUGAUGAAGGGAGCUACACCUGUGAGUGUGUAUAUAAUCGAGGAACAGAUAUUUUGCAUCUCAAUAUUUCUGUCAAUGGAUCCCAUGUCACAAACAACCUUUCUUUCCAACGACCUUUCAAUGUCAUGAUAAUAACAGCCUUUGCAGGAUUUGUAGCCGUCGUGGUCCUUGUUGGAAUAAUCAGAAGGAAACGUCAUCACAACAGGAGAACACAGCAGAAAGCGGUGUACACCUUUAAAGAGGUGAUGCAACA
This is a long non-coding RNA of Oncorhynchus masou masou (cherry salmon), 704 nucleotides long. RefSeq lists it as uncharacterized. Lineage: Eukaryota; Metazoa; Chordata; Actinopteri; Salmoniformes; Salmonidae. The transcript is spliced from 4 exons. The record is from RefSeq and is a predicted model, not a curated record.